Molecule: long non-coding RNA, 1203 nt
Filed under: Scleropages formosus (Asian bonytongue)
Lineage: Eukaryota; Metazoa; Chordata; Actinopteri; Osteoglossiformes; Osteoglossidae
Description: lncRNA (ENSSFOG00015032064.1)
Source: RNAcentral
UGGGCCCAGCGAGAAGUAGGUAAUAGACUGAGUAGACUGUGUUUCGACGGAGACGAAAAGAAUUACGAACUUUGGGAGACAAAGUUUUUGGGGCACCUGCGUUUGCUGGGACUAAAAGAGACCAUAUAUAUUAUUGAAAGUCCCCACACCGAGCGAUAGAGACAGCGCGGACGAAGAUGAGAUUGACGACACUGAUAAAAAUGAAGAAGCUUACGCGGAAUUGAUCCAGUUUUUGGAUGAUAAAAGUCUUUCCCUUAUAAUGAGAGAAGCCGCAGAUGACGGAAGAAAGGCGCUGCAAAUACUGAGGGGCUACUAUGCAGGAAAAGGGAAGCCGCGAAUUAUUAACCUGUACACAGAAUUAACAUCCCUUCAGAAAACUGCAAAGGAAAGUAUUACGGAUUACAUUAUUCGGGCAGAAACAGCCAUUACCGCUCUGAGGAAUGCUGAGGAGACGCUCAGUGACGGACUGUUGAUUGCAAUGAUUCUUAAAGGUUUGCCAGAAUCGUUUAAACCAUUCGCAGUUCAUGUAACACAGAGUGAUGAAACUAUGACUUUUGCAGAAUUUAAGACAAAGCUCAGAAGUUUUGAAAACACUGAAAAGUAUGCUAGGUCAAAUGACGACAACGUUAUGAAAGCGAGUGGUGCAGCUCCUGUGAGAAGAGGAGAGAGAGAGAAAAACGCAGACCCUUAUAAUAUUACAUGUUAUAAUUGCGGUCAAAAAGGACAUAAAGCCUGGAGAUGUCCAAAUGAACGUCGUAAAAGUCAAAAACAGUGGUGUAGCUAUUGCAAAAGCUCAACACACAAAGACGCAUCUUGCAGACGCAAAAGAAGAGACGACGCAAAACAAGCGACGCAUGAAGAGGACGCAGAUAAACAUGCUGCAUUUGUCUUCAAAACGUGUGAUUAUCAACUAGACGGGCUGAAACAUAAAGGGCUAAUGGUUGAUACGGGAGCAACAUCACACAUAAUUACCGACAUCGGAAAGUUUAAGAAAUUUGACGAGACUUUCCAAACGGGCAAACAUUUCAUUGAGCUUGCGGACGGGACAAGAGCGAGUGGCGUUGCGCUGAAGAGAGGUGACGCGGAGAUAUGCUUGAUUGACAGUGAAGGAAAGCAAGUGAGUACAACGCUAAAGAAAGCACUGUACAUUCCUUCAUAUCCACAAGACAUAUUCUCUGUUAAAGCAGCGACUGGCAACGGGGC